AAAACCCUCAGGGCAGAGAGCAGCCCUACACUCCCUACACCGCACCCAUACUCAGCCCCUGCAGGCAAGGAGAGAACAGGUCAGGUUCCCGAGAGCUCAGGAACAUGGAGCUGAUCCAGGACACCUCCCGCCCGCCACUGGAGUACGUGAAGGGGGUCCCGCUCAUCAAGUACUUUGCAGAGGCACUGGGGCCCCUGCAGAGCUUCCAAGCCCGACCUGAUGACCUGCUCAUCAACACCUACCCCAAGUCUGGCACCACCUGGGUGAGCCAGAUACUGGACAUGAUCUACCAGGGCGGCGACCUAGAGAAGUGUAACCGGGUUCCCAUCUACGUACGGGUGCCCUUCCUUGAGGUCAAUGAUCCAGGGGAACCCUCAGGGCUGGAGACUCUGAAAGACACACCGCCCCCACGGCUCAUCAAGUCACACCUGCCCCUGGCUCUGCUCCCUCAGACUCUGUUGGAUCAGAAGGUCAAGGUGGUCUAUGUUGCCCGAAACCCAAAGGACGUGGCGGUCUCCUACUACCAUUUCCACCGUAUGGAAAAGGCGCACCCUGAGCCUGGGACCUGGGACAGCUUCCUGGAAAAGUUCAUGGCUGGAGAAGGUGGGCUUGACUGGAGGAAGGAGGGUGUGAAGCCGAGGGGUGGUGGCUAUAACGUACAGCAACCCUGUGUCGGUGCCCCCUGCCCGCUUCUCUAGUGUCCUACGGGUCCUGGUACCAGCACAUGCAGGAGUGGUGGGAGCUGAGCCGCACCCACCCUGUUCUCUACCUCUUCUAUGAAGACAUGAAGGAGGUGAGACCGCCUGUGAUGCUUCCCCCCAUGUGACACCUGGGGGCAGGCACCUCACAGGGACCCACCAAGGCCACCCAGCCCCGUCCCUGGGCGGCUCCCACAGCAAGCCCAGAUUCCCCAUCCUACCUCCCUGGCCCAGGCCCCCCGACUGCAGCCCCACCUGGCAGCAGGCUCGGCACAGCUUUCAUCUUCUGCACCUGAGUCAGCUGCAUGGGUGGCCACGGAUCAGAUACUUAGUCCUAUUGCUUAUCCUCACCAAAGGGUGUGCUACCCAGGGCCACAGUCACGGAAGAAGACCAUCCCGGUCCUCACCCAUAGGCGCCAAGCCCUGUUCAUGAUGGGAUCACAGGGCAGAGAUCAAUUCAUUUUACUCCAGAGACUAGGGCCCCAGGGGUUGAGGCUCUUUGGGGUUUCUA
RNAcentral lists this small RNA (1209 nucleotides) under Pan troglodytes (chimpanzee). Its description in RNAcentral is "retained intron". Lineage: Eukaryota; Metazoa; Chordata; Mammalia; Primates; Hominidae. The record is from RNAcentral.